CGACUGCCACAUCCACCCGAGGGGGAGGGACGCGCGAGGGUCGGAAGACUUGUUAGGAGUCCAUUGCCCAUCAAGAUCAACAACUAGUUAUCGCGCAGCUUUUUUUUUUUAAAUUUGGGAAGAACUUAAAUAGAUCCUCAAUGUUAAUUGAGUGUUCUUGCUACAAAUGGUAGCAUUUAAGCAUUUUUCUUGACCACAUUUACAAAAAGAAGGAAUAGAGACUUCUGUAAUUAAAGGGAAAAGGAAAAUGAAAGGAGCUGAAAAUACUGAACUGUGGAGUCCGGGUGGCUUAAGUUUGAAAACACAUGAGAUUAUUAGGACUGCCAAACAGCGUUUCUGAGAAACCAUAUCACAGAUUGUGGAGAAAAUCAAUGCUGAAAGAGUAGGAGCAGGCGCGGAACUCCUCCUUUCAAGAAUCCCAGAAAUAGUUGCUGAGUUGCUUUUUUUUUUAUUUCUGCUGAGGAUAGAAAAUGACAAAUUGAAAAUAAAAUCAUUAACUAUAUCUUAAGCACCACUCUGUAUGUCUGGGGAACUUUGGAUAAUGACUUUCCUUUAGAUUUUGCGAUGGGGAAGGAAUUCAUUCACAUUGAUACACCCUAAGUAAUGGAUACCAUAUAACUUGUAUAGUACUGUAUUCACCUUUUAUAAUGAAUUACUUUUUUAAAGUUUAUUAGACAUUUGUAACGAAUAGGCUGGUAGUUAAAUUAUGAAAAAUGAUAGUUGGUGCCAUACUGAAAACAAGAUUAACCAAUAUUCAAUGAAAAGCAAAUCAUUUGGGCUCAGGCCAGCAAUGACUUUACAACAGUUUUAAGAAAAAUUGAAGUUCUGGUGAGUUAUAUUUUGGCAAAGCCAUUUUUUUGGUUGUUUUUGUUUUUAACGUAUCUGUCAAUUAUCUAAAUAAAAGUAAUUUUCUUGAAGUCAUAUUUGGGAAACACAGCAUAGAAUUCCACAAGUCAUUUUAAUCAUCCCAAAAGAUACCAAACACUUUAAUCUUAAAUUAGCUUAGAAAAGUGGAAUGCUGAUUCCCAGGAUAUAAAGGGUAGCUUAACUUCUCUAAACUGCCGUAAAUCUCUCCUAAAAACUUAAGCCUAAGUGUUUGAGUAUCUACAGAGUUAUGGAGACCCUUAGAACAAGGUGACUUAAAACUGAAAAUUAAGAUGAACUAUCUGGAUAACUUAAGCAUUUUAAUUCUUUAGUAGAGGAAGAAUCAAUGUGAAGUCUUAAGGAAUCAUCCUGAAGUUCCUCAGAUCUACCACAGUUGAUAAAGUCCUUGCCCCCUGGCUGAUGAGAGCUUAAUUUAGCUCCCUUGAAAGACUAUCCUUGACAAGAUCAUGGCGUAUCCAGUUUACGGCAGAGAAGUCAAGAUUAUAUUGACGAACUGCAACUAGGAUUCUGUUUCAUGCUCCGCAGUUGUAGCCCUGGCUCUGAGACUCACAGUUCCACGUGUGGAAAGGAACCUUUAUAUAAACUGCAGUAAUUCACUUUGUUCACAGUUUUUCUCAACAGUGGUGGUGUUCUCUUUGAAGCGCUGUUCUGUGUGCAAGCGAGAUGUGGAACACUGCUCUCACUGUCUCCUGCCGACCGAGAUUGGCACCAUGAAGAAGUAAGGAAGCCAGAAUUGGAUCCACAGUUUCAAAGAAAACAGCCUAAGACACCAAGUCCAGUUCCUAAAUAAGGCAUAUUAAUACCUCUCAACUUCGCGUCCCUGACGGCAUCCUUGGUCUGGGGUCUGUCCUGGUGACAUGUGAGUCGUACAUGGUAAGGGGCUUCUCUCUCCCUCCACCUUGAACAAUAGUUUCUUUUAACAAUUCUUAAGAGUGUCACUUUGCAAUUAGAGAUAAGGCUCUCAUACCUAGAAAAGGUAACAUUGUGACUUAAAUUCACACUUGGAUAGAAUAAUAUCAGAUUUCUUCUAGAGAGCACGUUUGGAUGUGGAGCAGAUGAUAAGCUAUCUCUAUCACAAAUGAGGAUUAUAAAUUGUGGGCAUUAAACUUAGACCAAGGGGGUAAAGACUAGAGGGGAUUCUGAUUAAAAAAAUGAAAGCACACAUUUUUAAAGAUGUCACUAAAAGCCAUCAUAGUUGCUUUAAGAUGUAGAUGUGUUCAGCAUUUGAGGAAACGAGUUCUAUUAAUGCAAAAGUGAAGGAACUUUGAACUACGUCAAGUGUAGAUAGUUGAUGCUCAAAACACAACUCUAAAAGGCAUUGGGAUGACCGUUGUCCUUAGAAACCCUAAAAUUAUCUAAUACGAAAAAAAGUAUAAUGAGGUUAUUGGAACCUCCAAAAAAGUGUUAGUGCAAGGAAAGAAAAAGAUGAUGAAGCUUUUUGAAGACACAACUCAUGAAGAGAAAGGUCAACAGUAAACACAGGAUAAUAACCCAUGAGGAGGAAAACCAAAAUUGGUUAUUUGACUUUGGAGGUGAAAACAGGGCAGACACGCCUAAAGAUCUGUAACACCGAUGGUUGGAUUCUGCUGGAGAUAACCAUAGUCUAAAGCAGGGUGAUGACAGGUUGCAUCUCAAGGGGAAUAUUUGGUAUAUAAGCCAGUGCCAGUAGGAAUAUGAUUCCAUUUUUCCAAUCCUGUGAAAAACUCGUGGAAUUACAUGUCCGGUGUUUGUGAGAAGCCUCAGCUCUUUGUAAACCGAAAUCAUUUCACAGUCCAGCAAAGUCUAAUCAUGUGUUUAAACAACCCGUAUGGACUGAAGAAAAGAGAAGAAGGCAUUACAGACAGAAAGUGGCAACCUAGGGAAUUAAAAGCCGCACAGGGAUAGAAAUGGAGAGCCGUUUCCUGCUUGAUAGCCCUGAAAGGGGGCCUGCGGUGUGGCAGAGGGCAAUGAAUCAAAGAAAGGUCAUUUACAGGUAGUAAAGUCAAAUGUCACCUCCAAUUCUCAUGACUUGUGGUUUAGAAAAAGGUUAGCUUAAUAUAGAGACUAGUGUGGCAUUCUGAACUGUCUUAAGACAAGAUAUGUGAAAUGAUAUAACACCAUCAGUGUCUCUCCCCCUAGCAGUUAUGUUCAAAAAGCUACUUAAAACUUGAGGUCAUGGUGAGGUACUAGACACCUGGGAAAGUCCCACUUGGUAGACUAAGGAUAGCAUCAAAAGUCCUAUAAACUAUAUUAUAGAAACUGCCUCAUGGAAGACGAUUUUUGAAAUACACCAUUAUUGAGAAGUAAAUCCUAUGCAGUAUCUAUAGCACUUUGAUGACAGAACUGAUUUCAGUGAAGUUGGAGCAUCAGUGGGACUGAAAAAGCCAUAUAUAUCAUCAUCAUUAUAGGCACUUAUUUUAUGCCAGGCAUUAUGAUCAGCACGUUACAUGCAUUACCUCAUUGAACCCUCCUAGUCAUUUUUAAGAGAGGUAAUAUAAGCACCAUUUUCACAUGAAGAAAUUGAAGCUUGGAGAUAUUAUUAUCUUGUCCAGGGUCUCACAAUGUCAGAGUUGGACUCAAAAGUGUGUGUUAAGUUCUAGAAAGCCCAUAUAAUAGCCACCAUGUUAUACUGUGUCCUAAAUAGCCAAGUAUUAAUCAUACAAACCUGUUGCUGUAAUUAAAUCCAGCACUUUGUGUAACAAACUGUUGGGUAACAUACCAAUAUUUAACCACUUGAAAGGAAAACUGAAUGUCCAGUUUCUUCUAGAAGGUUAAUCAAAUGUUUUAUCACACAGAACUCUGCCAAAUCCAGUGCCUGUCUGUGUGUGGAACGUGACCUAGUUGAUGUCUAAUGCUUUAACAUUAGAUGGUCACCUGUGCCCACCUUGACCUCUUACGUCAAGUGAGUGACAUCAGAGAACCACUGAGAGAGAAUUAAAUGAUAACCACCCUAUAAAGCAUUGAGUAAUAAGACAAAGAAAUACAGACAAGAACUUAAAAUUAAAAUUCUGGACACCCAAACAUAUUUGCACUCUUGUUCGAAGGGCCUCAUGUCUGAUUCCUUGCUCUCAGAAACACAGGCAUCAUACUUCCCUGUUUUGUAAACUUCACCUGUAUGUUGUGCAAAGAAUGAAUUGCUGAUUUUCUGUGAUGAUGAUUGUGAUUUAAAUGGAUAUGGGAUUCUUAAAUGACAUUUUGGAUUUCAAGAAACAGAUUUUAUUUCUGGUGGAGAGCCGCUCUCAGUUUGUAGUGAAGGUCAAUAUGUCCGUUUUCCUAGGAUCCACUAAGUGAAGCCUGGGAAAUUAGAACUUUCUUCUCAGUGUUGAUUUACAAAUGCAGGGAAUACUGGAGUAGAGAAAACCGUACUGUUUUAGUUAGUUGUCUUCUUUCCCAGUUUGCAUAGAUAUGGAAGUUACGCAUUUCUUCUCUCAUAGCGGAUUUUUUUUUCUAAAAACAAAAAGCAGUAAUACUUAUGUCGGAUACCAGAAAUACUAUUUAUGAAGUUGAUCAAUGGCUUUGGGGGAACUUUGCUUUAGGGCAUUUGAAUAGCCUUCCCUAAUAGAUGAGCUUCCCCAAAGAUCAGGAAAUAGUCAACAGAUAAAAUGAACAUAGGAACUGGUGUGUUUAUAAUAUAGUCUUAAAAGUAAUUUAACAUUUCCUGAUAUUAUGUUAGAGAAUGAAUACUCAACAGAAGACUGGUCAAAUACUUAAGCAGUAGUCCUCUUUCUUCCUAAUCUGACAUAGAGGAGAGAGGGUGCCCCUCUCCCAAGUCUUUAGGAAUACUGCCUUCAGAGGUCCUUCCUGACGCGGGGGUGGGCUCUGCAGUCUGUGAGGCCUGGCACCAUGACACAGCCCGUCAUACAUAGAAGUCCCUGAUCAACUCAGAUCCAACACGAGCAACUUUGUGAUAUUUUCACUUUCCAAGUUAUUUUCUUAUGAAGAGAGGAUACACUUGACAAUUGUGUGGCUUUUUUCUUUAUGAGGAAAAGAUGUUUGGGGGGUGUUGUACAGCCAUUUCUUAGGAGUUUGGACAUUUUCAGUUGUCCACUUUGAGAACAAUAGCGGACCUAUGAACUUGAGCUUCUUUAACCCCUUGAGGCUAAAGGCCAGGCCCUGCACGGUGAAGCUCACUGAGGUCAUGCCAUUCUGUGCAUGACCCUUGGCAUCUGGCCAGAUUUCUCCAGACCCUGGGGGGUAUCAUGACUCAUUCUUUUGCCUGCUUGAGAACUUCAGUGAAUCACCGACCUCAACCAAGCCGGCCUACUUAAGGAGACUCCUGAGGGACAGCAGCGUUUUCCAGAAAGUCUGUCUAAAUGGAACCAUUCAGAGGUCUGAGGAAAAGCAGACCAGAGGAGCAGGAAGGAAGAGUUAGCAACACAUGCUGCCCGGAGAGAGAAUAGCAGAAAACGGAGCCGAGUUGUUGAGGAGGGAAAUGGGACGUGAGGGAGUGAAGGCUGUGGUAUGUGCAGACACUAAUUUCAAUUUUAUUAAGCUGUAAAAGGAGAGGCAGAAGCUAGUAGCUGGAGGACGACAUGAGGUUGAGGGAAUUUUGUUUCUAACAUUUCCACAUGUCUUAAUGCUGAUGAGAAGGUGUCAAGAGCAAUUAAGAUACUGAGUGUAGAAGAAAAUUGGUGAAAUGAGAUCCCUGGGGGGACAGGGAAAAACGGAUCUAGAGCACAUGUGAAAUGACUAGCCUCAGAUAGGAGAGGGGAUACCUCUUGUACUAAAUACUAAAGAGAAAGCAAGAAAGGAUGGGUACAAGUGCAAGUAAAGUUGACAUGGGAAGUUGAGGAGGGUGUGCAUAAGGUGUCGUUAUUUCUUAGAGUAAAGGGGGAAAUCACUGGAUUGAACCUGUAAGAAGAGCUUGACGCAGUUGCUUUGAAGGAACUAAACAAUAUGGAAAAAUUGAUGGGCAGAAUAGAGGUACCAGCUAAGGCUGGUGACCAACAGUAAUUCUUUGAUAUUCUCGAUACUAUAACUGAACUCAGAGUCCAGCUUUAGUCUUGGAAAACAUGACAGGAUCCAUCCAGGAUAGAAAUUUUUCCAGGUGGGGAGCAGGAAGACGUGGGAUCAAAGAAGUUUAGUUUAAUUGAAUAAAUUAAAUUUCAGUAAUGGACCAAGGAGUAAGCUCUGGAGAGAAGGAUACUAGCUGAUGGGUUACUGAUGGAUGGAGGAAAGCAGAGGGAUAUAGAGACUUUGGAUCCCAGUGAGGUUAAAGAAUUUGUCUAAGGAGGAAUAGUCAGUGAGAGAAAGGAACGUAUAGAGGACAGUGAAUAAAAACUUGAUAUUUCUGAUGGAGUACAAGAUUCUAGGAUCCUGACUAGAGGGUGGGAAAUCAUGGCAUCUAGGAGUUGGAUUAUCAGAAAAGCUGUAAGUUAAUCAGAAGAUUAUCUUGGGUCUUGAAGAACAGGAAGAUACUGAACUAGUUGAUGAAACCUUUGAAGAAAGAGUUCCUAAUAAACAUAAAUAACAGCAAAAAGGAAGGGUAGUAACAGGUAGCAGGAAAAAAGGAGCAUCAGAGGAACUGGUUUCAUACAGAAGGGUAAAUAUUGUGAAAAUCGGUUUGGGAUUGUAUAGGGUAUGCUAACCCCAUUUUCUAACCUCGAAUCAUAGAAAAAUCAGUGGUUUUCACUUACUGUAAGCAGGGUGACCAUACCAUCUGGUUUGCCAUUAACGAUCCUGACAUAAUUGUUAAUGGUACCGCCAUUUACUCUUAAAAGUGUCCUGGUUUCUUUAAGCUCUAUGUUCAUCCCACUCUAAAGGGGAGUAGUGGCCUCAAGGAAGAGCUCUUUUAUUUAGGAAAUACAUGUGUGUGUGUUUUAAUAAAUGAGAGGGUAUAGGAUGGAUUUGCUUGCUCAAUUGUUUUGCUUGAGAGAGGAGUUUCAAGGACUAUAGUAAGAAAGGUUUGGGAGGGGCUGGAGCAGUGGGAUGCUGAACCCGAGGAAAGGAGAUAGCAAGCAGUGUGUGAACUGAGCGUGUGGGAGAGAUGAGCUGACUUCACCCAGAGCUCCAGUCUGCCCUUUCCACCUUCCUACCAACUUGCUCCCUCCUUUAAUCUGGAAGCAGAUUGAUAGUCAUGCCUUCAGAGGUCAGAUAUGCCUAUUAUUAUUUAUAUCUUUACACCGCAGCCAGAGAUCGCAGCAGUUACUGUAUUACAAGGUAAAAGAUUCAAGUACGAGUCCCGUUCCUGCAGAUCCGUGGCCAUAAAAUGGCUCCUAAAUGGGAUGAUAGCCUCCUAACCUUUGCUUCCCCUUGCGCUUAGGUUUUCAGUGCUCUUCCUUCCAAGCUUUUUCUCUGCCAGCUCACCUCCAUUACUUCCUUCAAAAUUGGGGUAAGAAAACAAAGCAGCUUAAGCCUCUGGAUCAUAUGAGAACUGGUUGAUUCAUGGAAGUCACUAGAUAUUGCCAAGCAUUGUACACUGAGAGCUGAUGACAGAAGGAAUGGCUAAGUCAGAUGGCGACAAUGCCAAAAGCAAAUGGGAAUUGACAGCCUCACUAAAAGAAAAAUAUUCUUAUGUCUCUAGUCACAGCCAUAAGCUAAAACCCACCUUCAAAGACCAAUGUAACUUGUAGCCACAUUGGAAUUGAAGAUUCUUUUUUUAAAAAAAGAAAUAGCCCGACCUCCACUGAACAGAGACAUUCCCAUUACAGCAUCUUCAGAGGAGACCUUUAUGCCAAUGAAGUCAUUUGUAUUUAAGUCUGAAAAUGUAUGCUGCAAUACAACUGAGGCAUAAAGUUUAUUGAUGUAGCUUACAAAAAUGUAGAUAAAGCCAUUUUCCUGAGCUAUGGACAUUCAUCAGUCACCAUGACAAAUAUAAGUUAAAAUGAGUGAUUUUCAUUCACGUUCUAAAAAUACUCAGUCCUAUUUACAAAUAGAUUGUUCACAGGGACCCUGAAAGUAGUAAGCUUGCAGCAUCAAUUAAACAUAUGAAUCACUUAUUUAAAAAUCUAUACACAAUUUUUCAGAAGUACCUCAUGAUAAGAAAUCCUCUCUACCUAAAACCGUGGUUCACAAACUUGUUUUUCUUUUUCUGUGCCUAAGCUUUCCACAUGUUUAAUAUAGUCCCAUUUAGUUACAUAUUUCACUGCCUAAAAACAUUCUAAGCUGGACUCACUCCCCCACCCCUAGAUUCCCACUCCAUCCUAGGGACUAUCAGAGCAUUGGAAGUGUUGUAGCUGCUUGAAAAUAAUUCUCUAGAACAGUGUUUUUCAAAUGUCAGGUUGUAACCCAUCAGUAGACUAUAUAUUUAGUGUGUCAUAACCAAUAUUUUUAAAAAAUGAAAUAGAAUGGGAUAGAGUAUAUCACAUAUAAAAGGGAUAAAUAAAAAGGUAAACCUUGAUUUCACAGAUACACAUCUACCAGGUCAUCAUAUAACAUGUAUUUUUAUCCCCUAUGGAUAGCAUAGUCAAAAAAAAAAAGAUUGAAAGCCACCAUUUAAGAAAAUAGGUAAAUUAAUUGAGAUGAAUCACUUCACUGAAAUACUAUACAGCAGCUAUAAAUUACUACAUAUAUCCACAUGGAUAAAAUCUAAAAUAUUUAUGUUGGGUGAAAUAAGCCAACUGUAAAAGGAUUCUUACAUUAAUUGUUAAAAACAUUGACAACAAUAUUAUGUAUUAUUUCCUUACAUAUGCAUAUGUAGUACAAGUACAAUGAAAAGGAAAAGAAAGAUACCGCUUCCAGAAUAGGCAUAACCCCGGGUGGAGAGGAAGAAGGCUGGGAUGUACCUGCAACGUUUGGUUUCUUAUCAAAAUUCUGCAAGUCAGGAACUGUGGUUCUGCUUUACUCUGAUUGAUUUGUUUAAUUUCUCUGGUCCUUAUUUCUUCAUAUCUGGAAUGAAAGGUAAUAUCAGAGAGUGAUCAAACUGUCCAGCUAGAAGGAGAGGUGGAACUGUGUAACGAAGGUGUGUUCUAAUCAUACAACACUCAACCCAGAAAACUUAAAUAAUUUCUCAAUGUUAAGCAGCUAGUUAAUGGUAGAAGUUGGGCUAGAUAGCAGCGAGUCACCCAGAAUCACAGUCUUUCGUUUGCUACCAUUACCUGCCUCUGAUGACCGGUGGAGGGCAUGGCAUCGUUUUCUCUCGGGUGAAGUUAAGAGGUCACCAUUAUCAUCGCACUCACCAUGGGGAGUGGGCCUAGUGGACAACGGUUUUAGUGCACUGAAGGAAAGAACUGAUGCUUUGCAAAGGCCACAUUUAAAUAAAUCUGUGUAUGCUUUUAUUGUUAAAUAUUAAAAGAAGUUAAGACCACUGGUUUCGUGACCUUCCAGUUGGGUGAAGCCAUGCCUUAUCUUAACCGGUUAAUGGGAGCCAUGCCUGGUCUCCUGUAGUCCUUUUACAUAUAAAUUGGACAGCAGGCUGGUGUUCUGUUCAGAGCUGAUUUGUCGUCACUAUUAGAAGUUGAUUGUUGAUUGAUCCCCCGAUACUUCCUAAAAGAAUUUGCAGUUGCAGCAAAUUCAGAGAACAAUAAAACUAUGUCAACGUAACAGAAGCCAAGAAGCAAAGGGGAAAGAAAAGGCAUCACGAAGUUCUGGUUAUGAAAGAGUCGCACUUGAGCACAACUCUUGGUUCUGAACUCACACCAACCAGGCGAAAGACCAACUGAUCUAACUGUCUAGGAAGCCUGUGAAACGAGCCAUCAGUCCAAACUCAGACACAGAAUUUCCCAGCUCGGUGCCCCGAGAGGCCUUGGACCCAGGUGCUACUGACAGAAGUGUCCUUGGCGCCACAGUGGCUCAGAGCCCUCAGCCCAGAGGCCUAGGGGUUCAACUCCCAGCUGCAUCACUUCAUUCUCAUUUCACAGUUGGGCGAAUUUCUUACUCUCUCUGUUUCCUCAUCUGUUAAAAGUGUAUAGUAAUGAUAGAAUUUACCUGCUGAGGUUUUUUUAAAUUAAGUAAGGAUUAAGUGAGUUAAUAUUUGUAACUGAUCAAGGCUGAGAACAGCCCUAAACCCUGGUUAGGGUUAUAUUGUGUUUCUUUAAUAAAUUAAGCAACCAAAUAUUCUGAAAA
Molecule: non-coding RNA, 9867 nt
Organism: Miniopterus natalensis
Lineage: Eukaryota; Metazoa; Chordata; Mammalia; Chiroptera; Miniopteridae
Source: RefSeq, a predicted model, not a curated record